GUUGAUCAUGGCUCAGAACGAACGCUGGCGGCGCGUCUUAAGCAUGCAAGUCGAACGGCAAGAGGUAGCAAUACCUCCUAGAGUGGCGGACUGGUGAGUAACACGUGGGUGACAUACCCUUCAGAUGGGGAUAGCUAUUAGAAAUAGUAGAUAAUACCGAAUACGAGCACAGGGGUUAGAGAUCUGUGAGGAAAGGAGCUAAGGCUCCGCUGAAGGAAUGGCCUGCGGCCCAUUAGCUAGUUGGUGAGGUAAGAGCCCACCAAGGCGAUGAUGGGUAUCCGGCCUUAGAGGGUGAACGGACACAUUGGGACUGAGAUACGGCCCAGACUCCUACGGGAGGCAGCAGCUAAGAAUAUUCCGCAAUGGACGAAAGUCUGACGGAGCGACGCCGCGUGGAUGAAGAAGGCCGGAAGGUUGUAAAAUCCUUUUGAAACUGAAGAAUAAGCGUUGUAGGGAAUGACAGCGUGGUGACAGUAGGUUUUGAAUAAGCAACGGCUAAUUACGUGCCAGCAGCCGC
Molecule: ribosomal RNA, 517 nt
Filed under: uncultured bacterium
Lineage: Bacteria
Description: bacterial SSU rRNA
Rfam family: Bacterial small subunit ribosomal RNA
Source: RNAcentral